UUAUGACAAGGCAAAGAGGAGGGCCAAGAAGGCGGAAUGCGAGUCGGCUGUGGACACCACGGAGCUGUCGGCGAUGCUGCUGCGGGUGCAGCUGGAGGUGCGGCAGCAGAACAGGGACGUCUUGCAUGAGCUGCAGCAGCUGAGGCAUGAAGUACGGGUCGUGUCUGAGAGGCUGGAUGAAACAGCCUCUCGACAAGACCCGUGCAGUGUCUCAGCCUGCCUUGUCGACGGUGCCUCCAGUUCUUCCUCGGCUACCUGCCGGCAAUAUUAAAGAAGUAGAGGCAGCCGUGCGGGAUGAGGCUGUGGCUGCCACCUUGAUGUCAUCUGUGCGAAAGGGGGGGGGGCGACCUGACAGAAGCACAGGACUUCAUUAAGAGGUGGUUGCCAGGGUCUGUGGAUAGGGGUGGUGGCAGGAAGAGGCGUUUCGAAGAAACGCUUGCAGCAGAGAAGCCCGAUGAUCCCUCCCUUUGGGGCAGGAAUCAUUGCCAGCCCACUGCUGCCCUCUCCCUGCCCCACCCUAGCCCUCAGGUCCCUGGCCAUUCCACUGUCGGCCCCUCCUGUCCGGCUGCUGCUGCCCCUGCUCCUUCCCCUGCUGCAGUCCCUGCUCCUGCAGUCCCUGCCGCCCCUGCCCCUCCUCCUGCUGCUACCCCUGGAGCUCAGCACCCCUACUGAUGGCUGCAUCAGUUCAAGAAUUGUAUUCUAAAUAGUAUUCUAAAUAAAUUAUAUUUUCGUUUAUGCUUUGCGUGUGUCUGCAGGAAGUUUCCUUCCCGCACUUAUUUCCAUCACGUUUCCUUCGCUACU
Dermacentor silvarum is the source of this 801-nucleotide long non-coding RNA. RefSeq lists it as uncharacterized. Lineage: Eukaryota; Metazoa; Arthropoda; Arachnida; Ixodida; Ixodidae. The record is from RefSeq and is a predicted model, not a curated record. The transcript is spliced from 3 exons.